GUGACUGAGUGGCGGACGGGUGAGUAACGCGUGGGUAACCUGCCUCAUACAGGGGGAUAACAGUUAGAAAUGGCUGCUAAUACCGCAUAAGCGCACGGUACUGCAUGGUACAGUGCGAAAAACUCCGGUGGUAUGAGAUGGACCCGCGUUGGAUUAGCUAGUUGGCAGGGUAACGGCCUACCAAGGCGACGAUCCAUAGCCGGCCUGAGAGGGUGGACGGCCACAUUGGGACUGAGACACGGCCCAGACUCCUACGGGAGGCAGCAGUGGGGAAUAUUGCACAAUGGGGGAAACCCUGAUGCAGCGACGCCGCGUGAGCGAAGAAGUAUUUCGGUAUGUAAAGCUCUAUCAGCAGGGAAGAAAAUGACGGUACCUGACUAAGAAGCCCCGGCUAACUACGUGCCAGCAGCCGCGGUAAUACGUAGGGGGCAAGCGUUAUCCGGAUUUACUGGGUGUAAAGGGAGCGUAGACGGAAUGGCAAGUCUGAUGUGAAAGGCCGGGGCUCAACCCCGGGACUGCAUUGGAAACUGUCAAUCUAGAGUACCGGAGGGGUAAGUGGAAUUCCUAGUGUAGCGGUGAAAUGCGUAGAUAUUAGGAGGAACACCAGUGGCGAAG
Molecule: ribosomal RNA, 615 nt
Filed under: uncultured Lachnospiraceae bacterium
Lineage: Bacteria; Bacillati; Bacillota; Clostridia; Lachnospirales; Lachnospiraceae
Description: bacterial SSU rRNA
Rfam family: Bacterial small subunit ribosomal RNA
Source: RNAcentral